AUCUAAAAAGGCUGGUCCCAGAGGCUCGCGUUAGGCAGCGCUGAGCUGAACGGGCUUUUGGAAGGGAUCGCCUGGUGCUUAGGGGAUUUCCACGGGGAGCGGAGAUGAGACACCAAAGCGAGCGCUCGCCAAACUGGCUCAGGCACCAGCAGCGCUGGAACUAGUUGGAUCAGCAGCUCAGCCUGCAGAUGCCCAAUAAAUGGAACCAUCACCAGAGAAGCAACAGGGAUGUGCAGCCAGAGUCAGGCUGGGAUCACCUCUUUUGACAGAAAUAUCAUCUUGGGCGUGAGGCCAAAGUGCUUGCACCAGUGCCGCUACCAUGAGAGAAGACGAACGUUUUGGAUACUUUAAGCAGAGGAGGAGUCAGAGAAGCAGGAAUACUCCCUGUCUGUCCCCUGGCAAUUACAGAAUGUAUGCCAGAAGCUCCUUCUUCAAAGAUAUAUCUACACAAAAAUUCUCAGGUUGCUGGCAUCUGAAAAGGGAAGCAGAAACUGAAUACCUGCAUGUGCAUUUUUACAGAGCUGGAGACCUGAAGCAUGCAGUCUUGGAUUGCUUGAAGCCAACAGAAAAAAAAAUCUGCUAACAGCUUUGAGACAAGGAAGACAGUCACCUUCCGGCGUGCAUCAGCUAGCAGAGACCGUGGGGAUCCGGACGCUGAGGGCUCUGCAUCACCGUCUGCGCAGCACAGCUUUGCUCUUAGCUCAGGAAGUGUGAAUUAGCACUCAAGUUUCAUAGAGUUUAAAGGGUUUGAAGCUGCAGCAAAGUCAGGAUUUCUAUAUGAAAUAUGUAGUAGAGCAGAUAGCUAAGCAGGAACAUCCACAGCUUUAAAAAGCUGCACCUCUAGAGGUGGAAAAUUAAAAGUGAAAUCCUCUUCAAAGUGAUAAAUGCACUGAAGCCUGUAUUAAACAACCUCUCAAGGGCCUGCCAGAAAAAAAAAAGAAAAAAAAAAAAAAAAAAAGGGUCUCUUGAGGGAGGGAGGUCGAUCUGCUGCUGCAUGUUAUUAAAUGCUGCAGUUGCCUUCCCUGUUGCUUUAAGUUUAAAGUUUCAGUGAUGUCUUGAUCUGCUGAUCAGAGUUUGGAUGAUGUGUUAGCUGUGAACAACUGCAAAGGAACAUUUUUCAGACAGCGUUUCGAAUGGGCAGCUGUGCGGUCCAAAAAUAGAAAAACAGCAUUCUUUGGUUGUCUUAAGUCUUUCAAUAAAUCGACAUAGCUAUUGCCCA
This is a long non-coding RNA of Dromaius novaehollandiae (emu), 1219 nucleotides long. Lineage: Eukaryota; Metazoa; Chordata; Aves; Casuariiformes; Dromaiidae. The record is from Ensembl.